RNAcentral lists this ribosomal RNA (252 nucleotides) under uncultured bacterium. Its description in RNAcentral is "partial 16S ribosomal RNA". It matches the Rfam family "Bacterial small subunit ribosomal RNA", at positions 524 to 776 of the family's 1533-position model. The record is from RNAcentral.
UACGGAGGGAGCUAGCGUUGUUCGGAAUUACUGGGCGUAAAGCGCACGUAGGCGGCUUUUUAAGUCAGGGUGAAAUCCCGGGGCUCAACCCCGGAACUGCCCUUGAAACUGGAGAGCUAGAAUCUUGGAGAGGCGAGUGGAAUUCCGAGUGUAGAGGUGAAAUUCGUAGAUAUUCGGAAGAACACCAGUGGCGAAGGCGACUCGCUGGACAAGUAUUGACGCUGAGGUGCGAAAGCGUGGGGAGCAAACAGG